RNAcentral lists this ribosomal RNA (163 nucleotides) under Paphiopedilum glanduliferum. RNAcentral's name for it is "5.8S ribosomal RNA". It matches the Rfam family "5.8S ribosomal RNA". Rfam says of the family: 5.8S ribosomal RNA (5.8S rRNA) is a component of the large subunit of the eukaryotic ribosome. The record is from RNAcentral. Lineage: Eukaryota; Viridiplantae; Streptophyta; Magnoliopsida; Asparagales; Orchidaceae.
UAACAACUCUCAGCAACGGAUAUCUCGGCUCUUGCAUCGAUGAAGAACGCAGCGAAAUGCGGUAAAUGGUGUGAAUUGCAGAAUCCCGUGAACCAUCGAGUCUUUGAACGCAAGUUGCGCCCGAGGCCAUCAGGCCAAGGGCACGCCUGCCUGGGCAUUGCGA